Molecule: ribosomal RNA, 767 nt
Filed under: Salmonella enterica
Lineage: Bacteria; Pseudomonadati; Pseudomonadota; Gammaproteobacteria; Enterobacterales; Enterobacteriaceae
Also listed under: 1 other name
Description: partial 23S ribosomal RNA
Rfam family: Bacterial large subunit ribosomal RNA
Source: RNAcentral
GUGGACGCCAGUCUGCAUGGAGCCGACCUUGAAAUACCACCCUUUAAUGUUUGAUGUUCUAACGUGGACCCGUGAUCCGGGUUGCGGACAGUGUCUGGUGGGUAGUUUGACUGGGGCGGUCUCCUCCUAAAGAGUAACGGAGGAGCACGAAGGUUGGCUAAUCCUGGUCGGACAUCAGGAGGUUAGUGCAAUGGCAUAAGCCAGCUUGACUGCGAGCGUGACGGCGCGAGCAGGUGCGAAAGCAGGUCAUAGUGAUCCGGUGGUUCUGAAUGGAAGGGCCAUCGCUCAACGGAUAAAAGGUACUCCGGGGAUAACAGGCUGAUACCGCCCAAGAGUUCAUAUCGACGGCGGUGUUUGGCACCUCGAUGUCGGCUCAUCACAUCCUGGGGCUGAAGUAGGUCCCAAGGGUAUGGCUGUUCGCCAUUUAAAGUGGUACGCGAGCUGGGUUUAGAACGUCGUGAGACAGUUCGGUCCCUAUCUGCCGUGGGCGCUGGAGAACUGAGGGGGGCUGCUCCUAGUACGAGAGGACCGGAGUGGACGCAUCACUGGUGUUCGGGUUGUCAUGCCAAUGGCACUGCCCGGUAGCUAAAUGCGGAAGAGAUAAGUGCUGAAAGCAUCUAAGCACGAAACUUGCCCCGAGAUGAGUUCUCCCUGAGACUUAAAGUCUCCUGAAGGAACGUUGAAGACGACGACGUUGAUAGGCCGGGUGUGUAAGCGCAGCGAUGCGUUGAGCUAACCGGUACUAAUGAACCGUGAGGCUUAACCUU